GGAGGGAUGCCCGAGUGGCUAAAGGGGACGGACUGUAAAUCCGUUGACUACGUCUACGGUGGUUCGAAUCCACCUCCCUCCACCA
This 85-nucleotide transfer RNA is filed under the name Alphaproteobacteria bacterium. Its description in RNAcentral is "tRNA-Tyr". It matches the Rfam family "tRNA". Rfam says of the family: Transfer RNA (tRNA) molecules are approximately 80 nucleotides in length. Their secondary structure includes four short double-helical elements and three loops (D, anti-codon, and T loops). Further hydrogen bonds mediate the characteristic L-shaped molecular structure. tRNAs have two regions of fundamental functional importance: the anti-codon, which is responsible for specific mRNA codon recognition, and the 3' end, to which the tRNAs corresponding amino acid is attached (by aminoacyl-tRNA synthetases). tRNAs cope with the degeneracy of the genetic code in two manners: having more than one tRNA (with a specific anti-codon) for a particular amino acid; and 'wobble' base-pairing, i.e. permitting non-standard base-pairing at the 3rd anti-codon position. Lineage: Bacteria; Pseudomonadati; Pseudomonadota; Alphaproteobacteria. The record is from RNAcentral.